Molecule: ribosomal RNA, 253 nt
Filed under: uncultured bacterium
Lineage: Bacteria
Description: partial 16S ribosomal RNA
Rfam family: Bacterial small subunit ribosomal RNA
Source: RNAcentral
UACGGGGGGGCAAGCGUUGUUCGGAAUUACUGGGCGUAAAGGGCUCGUAGGCGGCCAACUAAGUCAGACGUGAAAUCCCUCGGCUUAACCGGGGAACUGCGUCUGAUACUGGUUGGCUUGAGUGUGGGAGAGGGAUGCGGAAUUCCAGGUGUAGCGGUGAAAUGCGUAGAUAUCUGGAGGAACACCGGUGGCGAAGGCGGCAUCCUGGACCAUUACUGACGCUGAGGAGCGAAAGCCAGGGGAGCAAACGGGG